Molecule: ribosomal RNA, 764 nt
Filed under: uncultured Acidobacteriota bacterium
Lineage: Bacteria; Pseudomonadati; Acidobacteriota
Description: bacterial SSU rRNA
Rfam family: Bacterial small subunit ribosomal RNA
Source: RNAcentral
ACGAGAAAGCAUCCUUCGGGGUGUGAGUACAGUGGCGCACGGGUGAGUAACACGUGGGUUACCUGCCCUCCGGUGGGGAAUAACUCCGCGAAAGUGGAGCUAAUACCGCAUACGACCUUUGGGUGAAAGUCCUAGGACGCCGGAGGAGGGGCCCGCGGCCGAUUAGCUUGUUGGUGAGGUAAUGGCUCACCAAGGCUGCAAUCGGUAGCCGGCCUGAGAGGGCACACGGCCACACUGGCACUGAGACACGGGCCAGACUCCUACGGGAGGCAGCAGUGGGGAAUCUUGCACAAUGGGGGAAACCCUGAUGCAGCGACGCCGCGUGAGCGAUGAAGUCCUUCGGGGCGUAAAGCUCUUUCAGUGGGAACGAUAAUGACGGUACCCACAGAAGAAGCUGCGGCUAACUACGUGCCAGCAGCCGCGGUAAUACGUAGGCAGCGAGCGUUGUUCGGAGUUACUGGGCGUAAAGAGUGCGUAGGCGGUUACGUAAGUCUGGUGUGAAAUCUCCUGGCUCAACUGGGAGGGUGCGCCGGAAACUGCGGAGCUUGAGCACGGGAGAGGAAAGCGGAAUUCCUGGUGUAGCGGUGAAAUGCGUAGAUAUCAGGAGGAACACCGGUGGUGUAGACGGCUUUCUGGACCGUUGCUGACGCUGAGGCACGAAAGCGUGGGGAGCAAACAGGAUUAGAUACCCUGGUAGUCCACGCCCUAAACGAUGCAUACUUGGUGUGGGCACUUCAGUGUGUCCGUGCCGGAGCUAACGCGUU